UAUUAGGUUGGUGCAAAAGUAAUUGCAGUUUUUGCCAUUAAAAGUACAAAAGCCAUUUGCCAUUAAAACUCAUGGCAAAAACUGCAAUUACUUUUGCACCAACCUAAUA
RNAcentral lists this microRNA precursor (109 nucleotides) under Pan troglodytes (chimpanzee). Its description in RNAcentral is "mir-548 microRNA precursor family". It matches the Rfam family "mir-548 microRNA precursor family". Lineage: Eukaryota; Metazoa; Chordata; Mammalia; Primates; Hominidae. The record is from Rfam by way of RNAcentral.